GACGAACCGUGCGAACGUUGUUCGGAUUCACUGGGCUUAAAGGGCGCGUAGGCGGGGGACCCAGUCCGGGGUGAAAUCUUUCGGCUCAACCGGAAAAGCGCCUGGGAUACGGGUCCCCUCGAGGGAGGUAGGGGCAUGUGGAACUUCCGGUGGAGCGGUGAAAUGCGUAGAUAUCGGAAGGAACGCCGGUGGCGAAAGCGACGUGCUGGACCUCUUCUGACGCUGAGGCGCGAAAGCCAGGGGAGCAAACGG
Molecule: ribosomal RNA, 252 nt
Filed under: uncultured bacterium
Lineage: Bacteria
Description: partial 16S ribosomal RNA
Rfam family: Bacterial small subunit ribosomal RNA
Source: RNAcentral